UUAAAUUGAAGAGUUUGAUCAUGGCUCAGAUUGAACGCUGGCGGCAGGCCUAACACAUGCAAGUCGAACGGUAACAGGAAGCAGCUUGCUGCUUUGCUGACGAGUGGCGGACGGGUGAGUAAUGUCUGGGAAACUGCCUGAUGGAGGGGGAUAACUACUGGAAACGGUAGCUAAUACCGCAUAACGUCGCAAGACAAAGAGGGGGACCUUAGGGCCUCUUGCCAUCGGAUGUGCCAGAUGGGAUUAGCUAGUAGGUGGGGUAAUGGCUCACCUAGGCGACGAUCCCUAGCUGGUCUGAGAGGAUGACCAGCCACACUGGAACUGAGACACGGUCCAGACUCCUACGGGAGGCAGCAGUGGGGAAUAUUGCACAAUGGGCGCAAGCCUGAUGCAGCCAUGCCGCGUGUAUGAAGAAGGCCUUCGGGUUGUAAAGUACUUUCAGCGGGGAGGAAGGGAGUAAAGUUAAUACCUUU
RNAcentral lists this ribosomal RNA (473 nucleotides) under Escherichia coli. Its description in RNAcentral is "bacterial SSU rRNA". It matches the Rfam family "Bacterial small subunit ribosomal RNA", at positions 1 to 470 of the family's 1533-position model. The record is from RNAcentral. Lineage: Bacteria; Pseudomonadati; Pseudomonadota; Gammaproteobacteria; Enterobacterales; Enterobacteriaceae.